Molecule: long non-coding RNA, 229 nt
Organism: Drosophila obscura
Lineage: Eukaryota; Metazoa; Arthropoda; Insecta; Diptera; Drosophilidae
Exons: 2
Source: RefSeq, a predicted model, not a curated record
GCAAUGGCAAAAGGCGAAUGCGGCAACCAAAAAAACGCAUCACGAAUGCAGUGCGCUCUCCAAACUCCCACAAACUCAAUUUGAUUUGGGUGGGGGUGGGGGUGGUGUCGGUCUGCCCCCACCCCUUGUUAUUUUCGGCGCGAGAGCUGGGAUAGUGCACCUGUCGCGACUGUCGUCUAAGAAGCCACUCAAAUGAUAUUCAGCAAAUAAAAAUAUACAUUAUACAAUA